AAAAUAUACUUUUACUACUUUACGAACGAUAAGAGUAACAUACAUAAGAAUGUAAAUGUAUAUCCUUUUAUUAUUAUAAUUAAAAAGGGAAAUAUAAAAUGUAAAAUUUAUUGCCAUAUAAAUUAUAUGUUAAUAAUUUAUACUUAAAACUUCAAUGGUAAUAUAUAUAUAUAUAUAUAUAUAUAUAUAUAUAUAUAUACAAAAUAAACCUUACAAUACUUUUGUUCAUUUGUAUAUUUUCUUUAUUUCACAUAUAACCAUUUUUAAUUAAAUAAAAACUUCAUUUACUUUCAAAUGUUCUUAUAAAUAUAAAAGUAUAUUAAAAAAUAUCCUUUUCUUACGAAAAAAUAAAAUAAAAACAUAGUAACUCAUUCAUUUAUAAAUAUAUUCUGAUGAAUAUUAUUACUAAAAAUAUUUUCUUUUUGUUGAUAUUAUUAAUAAAUAUAUUUAUAAAGCCAAGGUAAUAAAGAUUUAAAUAUAAUAAUAUAUAUAUCAAAAUAAUUGAGAAAACUAAAAAAACAAACAAAGGAAACUAUUCUCUUUAAUAUUGAAACAAUAUAUAAUAUUAUUACAUAAUAAAUAUUUUGUUUUGGAACUAAUAAGGAUCGUUAUAAAAUAAAUAUUAGCAAAAUAAAAAAUAAGAUUAACAAUAUUUAAAAUAUAAUAUAUAUAUAUAUAUAUAUAUAUAUAUAUAUAUAUAAUAUAUAUGAAUACUUUUGAGAGCUUGCGAAUAAAUUUUUUUCCUUUUUCUUAAGAAAAAAAAAAAUUAAGG
Plasmodium reichenowi is the source of this 772-nucleotide non-coding RNA. The record is from RefSeq and is a predicted model, not a curated record. NCBI's taxonomy places the organism in Eukaryota, Apicomplexa, Aconoidasida, Haemosporida, Plasmodiidae.